UAUUUGACAACUCCUGGUUGUAGCUCAC
This 28-nucleotide non-coding RNA is filed under the name Rattus norvegicus (Norway rat). Lineage: Eukaryota; Metazoa; Chordata; Mammalia; Rodentia; Muridae. The record is from RNAcentral.